GAGAAAGCUGAGACCCCAGGGCCGGUGAGCACAGGACCACCUGCGAGCGCUGAGGCCUGAGGUUGCGUAAACGCAACCCACGUGGGGCCCGCCCGUGGUGUGUGCUCGUCAGACCCGGCACAGCCUCGUGACGUCCUCUUUCUCCUUCGAGGAAUCUCUUCCUCUGAAAUCUGCCUUGUCGGGUGUUAACACGGCUGCGCAGUCUUGCUCUUAGCAGUAGCAAGGAAUCCGACUCCAGUCGAAGAUGCAGCAGAAGUUGGACGCGUGAUGAAGACAGUGGGCUGAACGGGAAGACGUCCAGGCCGGAGCAGGAGCUGGCGGGCUCGGGCUGGGCGUGCAAACAGCUUCGCAGCCACGGGAAAUGCCUCGAAGGCCGGGGUGCCUCCGAAUUGAGCCGCUUCCCAAAAUAAUCCAGGGGGCAGCUGUCUCGGCUUUGGAGACUGAGUCUGGCUGCCUGAGCGGCAGGAAGCCCCAGGCCCCACACCAGCCCCACUCUGGGAACAGAUGGCACGAGGAGUAUUUUUUUCUUUUCCUGAAGUCAGCUGGAGCGCGAACAGCUUGUCUGGAGAAGUGCCCCUCCCCCUCCCUUUUGGCAGCAGAUCAAAGCCGCCGCCGCCCCUCCCCCAGCCCCUGGCCUCCUUCCCUUUAGGACCCAGGCAGCCGAGGUGGAGGGGCCUCACAGGCCUUUCUCACUGUCGGGUUUAACCCAGGGAGCAGCAGGGGCCCCUCGGUCCCUGGGAGCCAGGGCUGAGCUAGGGCAGCAGAUGCGGGAGGCAUGGCUGGUUGGAAAAUGGACAAUGGGGAUGUCGCAGAAAUGAUUCUUCUUGGAAGAGCGGGCCAGCUGACCUGGGUUGGCCAACAGCUGCAUGCAUUCAUUCAUUUAUCUGCCAGCGUUCCAGUCGAUUGGUAUGCUUACUGGCUGCAGACGGACUCAGCAGCGGGCAGGUGGGUUUUCACGUCUGCACAAGUCGUCGUGCACGAGCCGUUCCCUGCAGACCUUCCCUGAGCAGUUGCCGUGUGCAGGCCCCAGCUUGGAGCUCAGGGCGUAGAGAGCGCUCAGACGCAGGCGCUGUUCGGGCGGAGCUCAGAGCCCGCAGGGCAGGAGGCGGGGCAGGGCGGUGGGCAGAUGCAACGCUUGAGUCGGACUCGGGCGCGAGUCCUGGGUGCAUCCUCCGACUGCCCGGUGACGCUGGUGAGCCACUUACCUCCUGAGCGUCAGUUUCCUUCUCUGUCAAAUGCAAGCAAUAAGGAAGCUAUUUUUUGUAGGGUUAUUAUGAAUGUUAACCAAGAGAAUCCAUCUAAAGAGCUUGAACUAUUGCCCGGCACAUAGUGUUCCAUAAUGUCGGACGACACACCAUCCCCAUCAUCACAAUCACUCUCACCAUCAUCAACACCACCAUCACCAUCGCCAACACCACCAACACCACCAUCGCCAUCACCACCAUCACCAUCACCACCAUCACCAUCACCAUCACC
This 1476-nucleotide long non-coding RNA is filed under the name Equus caballus (horse). RNAcentral's name for it is "lncRNA (ENSECAG00000047683.1)". The record is from RNAcentral. Lineage: Eukaryota; Metazoa; Chordata; Mammalia; Perissodactyla; Equidae.